Molecule: non-coding RNA, 2311 nt
Organism: Rattus norvegicus (Norway rat)
Lineage: Eukaryota; Metazoa; Chordata; Mammalia; Rodentia; Muridae
Source: RefSeq, a predicted model, not a curated record
AUGCCACCGAAGUCCAACUUGAUGAACCAAUGAGUUUUAUUGGAUCAUAAAUGACUCAAAGACAGUUGCGUCACCCAGCCCUGGCAUAGGUGACAGACAGAUCAUAAGGCUGGGAACCUGGAGCACACUGCACAGCCUGCAGGCAGCUCAACAGGUUGGAGAGAGGAUCCUUCCCAGGGGCCUCAGUUGGUCUAAACCUCUCACAGGCAACUUGGUGGGUUUCUGCUGCUUCUUGGGUUGGUCUCAGAGUCUUCUUUGUGACUUGUAAUGUCUGAGGGUCUUCUCAGCUUAGUUUCUUCCUUCCCUUAUAGUGGGGACUCUGGUUUUAUUUUUUUACUCUGGCAGAAGGGCCUCGAGAAUCUGGUCAGUUUCAGGGACUUCCUGUGGGAAUUUUAAAUUCUUUUCUUUCCCGUUUUAAGAGUUUUCCAUAAAGGAUAGAAUGUAUCCAUCUCGGAGCUAAACUGCUACACAAUAUUCGCGAGCAGAAGCAAACCUAUGGCAGCCUUCACGCCCAGACCCACUCCCACUGCUCUCUUUAACCUCUGUCAGGACAAUCUACUCCAGUCAAGUCAAGGCAGCUUCUGACUUUGCCUGUGCUGUUAGAAUACAGUGUGCCACUUCUGAGGCUCAGAAGUAUGAGGCAGCCUGAACGCACCUGCCCGAGGCUGCAUAUCCGGCAGGUCACAGGAUCAGGUGGGAACUUGGACGUUCAAGCACCAGGGAUGCUCUCCCACAGAUGGUGGAAGGGCCAGCCCAGCCUACCGCAUUUCUUCUCCGAGAGAUACUUUUAUCAUCUGUAUGAUUAAUUCCAAACUAUCAUAAUAAGUAACUGUACUUUUGGAUGCUUGCCCAACUUGACUCUCUUCUAGAACAUUCUGCUUCAGGUACACAUGCAAACAUAAUCAUUGCAUUUUAGGAGUGAGGUUAUUUUCUCACUUUAGGGACAUUGUCCUUUCCCAGCCAACCACCUGUGACGUAUACAUUAAAGUUCCUUUUUUUUUUCCAUGAACUCAAUUGACACAGUUUGAGGAAGCUUGACAAAUGUGGCCUGUGCAGCCCACCACUCUAAUUAUGGUGGUUCGUCUGUCUCUAUAGCCUUUUUCCUAUGCCCUAGGUCAAUCCCUCCACCCACAGCCACAGCAGGCACCGGCUGGGGGUCUUGUGUGAGAGGGGAAUCACAUGUGUUCUUUUGUGCCUGCUCUCGUUCUGCCCAGCAGGUUGGCAGGAUUGUUUCCUGCUGCUCAUCCACCUUACUGAGACAGGACUUUGCUACACAGCCAGUCUCUCAUUCUGCAUCCACUCGCUUGGCAGCGGGUACUCGCCAGGCCCCACAGGGUUCUAUGAACGUUUGCGUAAGUGCCGUGGAAUGUGCUCUUCUGUAAGAAGGAACCAUGGCACAUAGGACAAGCAUAUGUUUAACUGUUAGUGCGUUGUCAAUUUCUUCACUGGCCAAACCCUGUCACGCCUCAACCAGCAACCCUACACUGAACCCCCUGCACCCUGACUGGUACAGCGGCAAGGCUGUGGACUCUCACUGGGGUGGAACACACGCUUUACACAGGCCUCUUUGCCAUAUGUUUCUGUUUUUAACUAUUUUUAAAAUGAGGCUACUGUCUUUUUUUUUUUUAAGCGAAUGGAGGAACAAGAGACAAGGCCUAGUGCGGUCACCCCAGCAGACUUAAGACACAGGUACAUGCAGGGAUGUGGGAUGCAGAGAGGGAGCCACACAUGGGGGGGGUAUGGCUCACAGGGAGGCACGUAUACACAUGUAGACACACAGAACGCGUGUUACAAGUUCAGACAACCUUCAAGUCCAUGCAGCCAUGGGGGGAAGUACUUCUAGUCACACACAUGCUUUGCUGUGAGAAUGUCCCCUGUUUCCCACACCCCCCGGGCAGGUAUGUGAAGGACAAAGAGGUCCCACACUCUACACCAGCAAGCAAAUCUGCUGCCACUGAAUCAUCAGGAAGGAGUGCAGAGAUUAGUGACAGCUAAAGGAAGCACCAAGUCCAGCUCCUAACAGCCUGUGUAAGUGCAGGUAUGUGAAGGACAAAGAGGUCCCACACUCUACACCAGCAAGCAAAUCUGCUGCCACUGAAUCAUCAGGAAGGAGUGCAGAGAUUAGUGACAGCUAAAGGAAGCACCAAGUCCAGCUCCUAACAGCCUGUCAGAAACCUCUGUGUGUGCAGCGAAGACCCCACAGCCCAUACAGACAAUGCUCUCAGCGGUUCUCAACUUCCUGGUGCUUCAACUCUUCAAUACAGUUCCUCAUGUUGUGGUGAUCCCAGCCGUAAAACCAUUUUCACUGCUA